CUGACUGCUUGAUCAGGUCCUGAUGGCUGUACUAUCUUAAGAGACUGAUUACAAUAAAGGACUUGGUAGACCCUAUCUCUUGUGUGUCCUGGAUACAACAAAUUGGCAAUGAAGCGGGAUGGCUUGUUUUGCAAUGAAUCCACCAGUGCCUUUUCUUCAGAACUCAGGUGAGCCACCUGUUGUGUUUCCUGUCUGGAUUUGGAUGUUUGAGAAUUAUAUUUUGGCAAUAAGGAAUGAAGAGAUUCCCAAAGCAGGAAAAUGUGCUUUACUCCUCUACGGCUUGGGAACAAAAGGUCAACGCAUAUUCUAUACCUUGCCACUUGCAGAUGAUAAACAUGAGACAGAACUUUCAGCUUUAAAGAAAUUUUGUGCCAAGAGUAAAUGUGGUAGCUAAUCAUUAUAAAUUUCAUCAGUGGGAACAGAAGUGGAGAAUCUAUACUACUGCUUUAAGAGACUUGGUGGGCUCCUGUAACUUUGGAAUAAUGGCAGAUGAAAUGAUUAGAGACCAACUGAUUGAGAAAACAUCUGUGCUAUGUACUCAAGAAUGUUUGCUGCUAGAGAUUUGACCUUGGAAAUCUAUAGUGAUUGCAACACAACUGGAGACAGCUGUGGCAGAAGCUAAAACUAUGAACUUGGAUAAAGGAAAUGGAGUACACGCUGUGGAUUCUACAUAUAGGAGCCAUAUGACGAAGUCGUGAAGAAAAGAGUAACAGAUUGGUGCAACAAAACCAAGCACCUUCCUAUAUUGCUGCAGCUGGAUUUAGGAGUUUCCCAUAUUCUGGGAAACACACCAGUGGGGAUUCGAAACAACAGCCUCCUGCUCUCUAGGAUGCUUCUCCAUUCCCAGGGAGGGAGGAACAACUGUGGUGGGCAUCCAAGGUCUCCAGAAUCCUUCGGACCUGCAGAAUCAAGCAAUAGUGCCGUUUUAGUUUAGCUGAGCGGGCUCGAUUUUUCCCGCGCGACCAGAGAGGGAGAGAUCAGCGACAGAUAAAGAGGGGCAAACAACAAGCCCCAACGCGUCUGAUUUCAGGCGCAGGCUGCUAGUUACGGCGGCCGCGUGGUGGACGUGCUGGAGAAGAAAGCCCAGGUACCGUUGUUGUGCUGCUUUGCUGCAGACCCGGGAGUUCCGAGCUCCAAGUGGAGGAGAGCUGCAGAGGCAGAGCGGUGAACUCUCCAUGCUCUUCUGUCCCUUGCAGCACGCAGCUCGGUCUGAGUGCUGCUGCAUGCAGAUGCUUUGCAGUUCUCUCCGGGACUGGGCUAUGGAUCGGCUGUUGCCCAGGGGUCUUUAUAUUCCUUUCCUCAUUGUUUAAAAGCCUCCCAGCCGCCUUAUCUCAAUUUGCUGGAGAAGUAAACAAAAAGGCUGCGCGUGAAAGCCGCAUCAGGGUAAACAAGGAGCGUGGACGCGUGCAAGCUCCAAAUGGCCCAGGGAGAGAUUUGGCAAGAAAGUGUUAAUCACACUUGAGCAGACACAUGGCGGUUGUCAUUAAGCGGGGAAGCACACGCUUAAUUUGGCCUCCUCUGGCUGCAAAGUGUCCACCGUGAGAAAGAGCCAGGGAGUCUCCAUCGUUUGUGUAUCUGGGUCCUGCCCGCCUCGCUUUUUGUUUAUUUCUUUCUCUUGCUGGGAAGAAGGGCCACUUCCUCUGCUGCGAAAGUAAUACCACUCUGUUUGUACGAAUGUAUUUUUUCAAAUAUUGAUUCCACCGAUCGUCUCCAAAAUGGCAAACAAGAGUCAAAGACGAUAAAAUGAAACAAUUCAGAUAACAAUGUAUACCUGUUAGAAAUACAGCUGCAAGAUUACGAAUCAGCAAGGAAUCCAGCCAGGCAAAAACUGCCAAAGGUCCGCUAAUUUUUACCAACAGGGUUUUACUUGGCAUCUAAACUCUAACAAAGCCCCAAACAAAUUGGGGGUGGGGGGGGAGGAUUCCAUGAUGCCACAAAAAAGAAGAAGCAAUCUAAUCCUUUCCCUCAUCUCAGGACGGGGUUCUGGAGAAGGGCCUCCAAAGCAGAUCUGAGUGAAUGGACAGGCUCUUUCCAAACAAGACCAUCCUUUAAGUACUCUGGGUCCAUGCUGUUUAGGGCCCUAAAAACUAAUGCCAGCACUUUGAAUAAAUACUUGAAUCAAAUCAGAACCAGAAUCCAGAACUGGUUCAGUUGUGUGUUUUUUAUGAACUAAAAUUGAACCUGAGCCUAAAAUCUCCUGAUUGCCUUGAAUCUGAACUUAAUUCCUAAACACAAAAAGUCAUAACCAGUUCAAAGUAUGCAAUGUAACUUAAUCUGGCACCCAGCUUUCAGUUGUACUAUUCAUUUUAUAUUUCUUUUCUUGCUCUGUUCAUAUUUUUUCAAGCCAAAUCAUUACUAUUGCAUUUAUGCUAUAGAUUUAUAUUGCAAGCAAAACAGUUUGAUAUUAUUCUGCAUUAAAUGUUCAAAGUGUA
Hemicordylus capensis (graceful crag lizard) is the source of this 2432-nucleotide long non-coding RNA. RefSeq lists it as uncharacterized. The transcript is spliced from 4 exons. The record is from RefSeq and is a predicted model, not a curated record. NCBI's taxonomy places the organism in Eukaryota, Metazoa, Chordata, Lepidosauria, Squamata, Cordylidae.